UGCGCGGUGGCCGCGGCCUAUAAUGCAAGUCGAGGGGCAGCGCGGUAGCAAUACUGGCGGCGACCGGCGCACGGGUGCGUAACGCGUAUGGAACUUGCCCUUACUAAGGGAUAGCCCGGAGAAAUCCGGAUUAAUACCUUAUAGUAUGGUUUGUUGGCAUCAACGAAUUAUUAAAGAUUUAUCGGUAAAGGAUAGUCAUGCGUAUGAUUAGCUAGUUGGCGGGGUAACGGCCCACCAAGGCUUCGAUCAUUAGGGGGUCUGAGAGGAUGAUCCCCCACACUGGUACUGAGAUACGGACCAGACUCCUACGGGAGGCAGCAGUAGGGAAUAUUGGUCAAUGGACGAGAGUCUGAACCAGCCAUGCCGCGUGCAGGAAGAAGGCCCUCUGGGUUGUAAACUGCUUUUGAUAGGGGCCAAAAUAUCCAUGCGUGGAGAAUUGAGAGUACCUAUAGAAUAAGCACCGGCUAACUCCGUGCCAGCAGCCGCGGUAAUACGGAGGGUGCAAGCGUUGUCCGGAUUUAUUGGGUUUAAAGGGUGCGUAGGUGGCUAUUUAAGUCAGUGGUGAAAGUCUGCAGCUUAACUGUAGAAUUGCCAUUGAUACUGAAUAGCUUGAGUAUUGAUGAGGUAGGCGGAAUUGAUAGUGUAGCGGUGAAAUGCAUAGAUAUUAUCAAGAACACCAAUUGCGAAGGCAGCUUACUAAGGAAUAACUGACACUGAGGCACGAAAGCGUGGGGAUCAAACAGGAUUAGAUACCCUGGGUAGUCCACGCCAUAAACGAUGAUUACUCGAUGUAUGCGAUAGACAGUAUGCGUCCAAGCGAAAGCGUUAAGUAAUCCACCUGGGGGAGUACGACCGCAAGGUUGAAACUCAAAGGGAAUUGACGG
Molecule: ribosomal RNA, 884 nt
Filed under: uncultured Bacteroidota bacterium
Lineage: Bacteria; Pseudomonadati; Bacteroidota
Description: bacterial SSU rRNA
Rfam family: Bacterial small subunit ribosomal RNA
Source: RNAcentral